CCCCUAGAUGUCCUGGGCCGCACGCGUGCUACACUGACACCUGCAACGAGUUAUUCCAGCUCCGAAAGGCAGUUGGUAAUCAGAAAUAGGUGUCGUGAUGGGGAUAGACCCUUGGAAUUAUGGAUCUUGAACGAGGAAUGCCUAGUAAGCGCACGUCAUUAGCGUGCGCUGAUUAAGUCCCUGCCCUUUGUACACACCGCCCGUCGCUCCUACCGAUUUCGAGUGGUCCGGUGAGCCUUUUGGAGAGUGAGCGUCCUUGAGGCGCUUGCUCGAAGUCAGGCAAAUCUUACUACUUAGAGGAAGGAUAAGUCGUAACA
Molecule: ribosomal RNA, 317 nt
Filed under: uncultured eukaryote
Lineage: Eukaryota
Description: partial 18S ribosomal RNA
Rfam family: Eukaryotic small subunit ribosomal RNA
Source: RNAcentral